CCCCAACCCACCCCACUUCUUCCUCCCCUACCACCGCACUCUCAUCCAUUUGCAACCGCAACAGGGCAGUCUUCCAGACCUGCCAAUUCCCCAUUCCUCUCCUUCCUUAGCGACCCCGGCCGAUUUCGCGGGUUGCGGAGCGAUUCCACGCGAGCGGAGCCUUUUCUGCGGUGAUUGUAAGGCGGAGGAGUGGGGGCGCUGGUGAUGAUUUCGCAGGCGCGGCAACGAAUACAUGCGGAGGACGGAAUGAGGCAAGGGGGGCGCCGCUUCUGCAUGCGCAACAGUCGAGAGCUCGGCGAACAGGAGGUGGAGGUACGAGUAGGCGAUGCGUGAGCUGUGUCGAGGUUCGUGCUGCCGUCAAAGAGCUCGUGCAAUCGCCCGCAAAUUUCCGGUAAGCAACUCGUUCUCGAUUCAGCAGUUUUUUCGCAGUAAAUCAGCCGGUUUUCACUGCAGGAGGGUGACCGACGGGGAUGCGUGUGCGAGAUGAGGUGUCGUGUCCGCGCAAGGGGCUGGUUAUAGGAGCGUUAGAUGCAUGAAUAAUUGGGGUUUGUGGUUCGUGAGAUGCACAACGAGGGGCGAGAGAGAGAGAGAGAGAGAGAGAGAGAGAGAGAGAGAGAGGGAUGGAGGGAGAGAGAGAGAGAGAGAGAGUAAACUAUUCUAACUUUAGUUUAGAGGGGAGUAGCAGAGGAUGUAGAUGUAGCAGAUGUUGCCCGUUUUCUGUAAUGAGAUCUGCUAGGCUACCCGUAUGAGAUUUGCUUGAUCCAUCUGCUAGUACCGAGGGGGAAGUAAUUGCAUCCUAUGAGUAACAUGAGAUAGUUUUGAGAUAUCUUGUCAGAUUUUCUGUAGUGAUAUACGGAGUAUAUGACAUUGAUAUCCUUGAUAUAAUUACCCGACUAGCAUCUGCUACUUUUCCUUGGGAACUUUUGCCUAAUAGUUGUUUUCUUACUUGCCUGCUAUUUGUCAGGGGUUUUGCCUAAUAGCUGUUUGUCUACAUGCCUGUGUAUUUUGUCAAGAUUUUUAUCAAUCCAUUAUUGGCACUGUUUUUGCCAACUGCAAUUAGUUUUCUGAAUAGGUGUCCAUUGAUUUCAGUUUUCUCAAUAGGGAUAUCCAUUAGUUACACAUCAUAAAAAACUGGAUAAAAUCCUUAACUUCUUCCAUCAUACCUUGUACUGGGCAGUAGAUAAAAUAGUACAUCUUGAUUUUUUUAGAUCAGAGCACAACUUGCCGGCAACCUCUAAUGCAUUUGCCCACGGGACACAGCACAACUUGAUUUUUUAGGACAUUUUCUUUUCAACGAACCAAAUAGAGGUCCACACAAGUUAAAAUAGAGUUCCUCACAAUAUAGAUUCACGUUUUUUUCCAGAAUAUUUUUCUUCCGCAAGCAAGCUAAUGAGUGGCUGCAGAAUCUAUGGGAAUUGCAUACAAACCCAGUACGAGUUGCUAAAUUUUAAUCCUUUUUCUAAACAAAACCUUGAGUUGCCUGUAUAUACUAUGCAAUUUGCUUAGAUUAGAGCACUACUUGCUUACAACCACUAAUGCACAUUUCCUAGGGGACACACCACAACUUCAUGUUCACACAAUAUAGGUCCACAUUGUGGACGAUGAAAAGUGUUCGAUCCACAAUGCGCGCGACGGGAGGGGGGACGCCGAGGUGGAAUUUUUGCAGGCAACAUGCUGGGAGGCGGUUGUUGGAUGGGGGGACGAGAGGGCUAGGGCGGAUAGGAAUGGCACUUCUGUUAAGCAAGCAAAAGUAAGAAGUCGUGGCCUGUACUCUAGACCGAGAAAGUGUGCAGACAAAAAACAUGCUUUCUUCUAGUCAAUCUAUAAUAUUUGUGCGCAUUGGGUUCUAGCCAAAAAAUAUGCUUUCUUCUAGAGCCAAGGGGGCAGUGCCAUCUGUGCGGCACGACCACCUAGUGGGGUGGAGCUAGAUCCGGGAAAGCAUUGUCUCAAGUGGUCGAGGAACUAGGCCGCAAAUCGUUGUAAGUAUCUCAAAAUCGACCCCCUAAGCAUGUGUUUCUCUACUCACAUCUACAAUUCUAUGUGAUAGAGGCGGAAUAGGGAGGUUGAAGAGGGGUGUGGGGGUCCCAUGUUUAUGGGCGAAUCGAUGAUUUUGAGCGCGGCGGUGGUUUGCGACUUGGGGAUGUGGGGGGCUGGAAUCGGGUAUGAUUUCAGCAGAAAGUUUUCAAAACUUGCCCAACGCAUGACAGUUAGUUGCUAGAGAUGCCUGUGUAAGUCGCCCAAAGAUCCGGUCCCGAGAUGGGGGGCUGGAAUCGUCGAUGAUUCGAGCCGAAAGUAUCCAAAACUUGCCCAACUCAUGAUAGGUAGUUGCUAGAGAUGCUAGCGUAAGUUGCCUAAGAUCCGCCCCCAAUAUGUUGGGGCUGGAAUCGUCUAUGACUUGAGCCGAAAGUGUCCAAAACUUGCCCAACGCAUGAUAGCUAGUUGCUAGAGAUGCCUGCAUAAGUUGCCAAAGAUCCGCUCCCGAGAGGCGGGCUCUGAAAUCGUCUAUGAUUUGAGCCAAAAGUGUCGAAAACUUGUCCAAGACAUGAUAGUUAGUUGCUAGAGAUGUUGGCAUGAGUUGCCCAAAGAUCCACUGCCGAGAUGCGGGGGCUGGAAUCGUCAAUGUUUUGAGCCAGAAGUGUCCAAACUUUCCCAACACAUGAUAGUUAGUUGCUAGAGAUGCUGGCAUGAGUUGCCCAAAGAUGAGAACAUUGGGUUUUAUUUUCGCUCAAAAUUUGCCCGAUGUAUGAUAGUUGGUUGCUAGAGAGGUUGGCGCGAGUUUCCCAAAGAUUUUUUUAGCAAAAAAAGAUUUUAUUUUGCACAAAAGUUGUGUUUUCCAAUCGGAUAAGUUGUCUACAUGUAAAUAGUUCUUGCCUAAAUCAUUUAAGUUUUGUAAAUAUGGUUUUGUAGACUUUUUUGCCUAAACAGAUUGUUUGUUCCGUUUGGAGGGCCUCACUGAAUUAUAAAGUCAAAGCAACAUUUUUUGAGGUUUUGUGCACAAGCCCAAGCAAGAAGGUUCAACAUCCACUUCCUGAUGUAGUAAAAUCAAUACUGGCUGCUCAUGCCAGAAGAAACAAGGGGAAAACACUAAAAAAAUAGUUGCAAUCAGGAUGAACAAGGCAUUUGUAAAAGGGAAGCAUCUGAGAGGGCACAACAAGAUGGAAGCUCACCUCUCAGGUCCAUGGCCACCAAAACGGGGGCAACAGUUGUGGCAAUGGAAGAGAGGAACAGAUGGAGAAGGGGAGGUCAAGGGGGGAGGUUUGGGGGUUACGACUAGGAAAGGGAAGGACGAUUUGGUGCGUCAGCAUGAGCCAAGGCAGGCUAAUGUCAUAGGAGGAGCAGUAGUUAAUAUUGUGACAGACUCGCCCCUGGGGCCAUGUGCAGUAGUUAAUGUCAUAGGGGGCCGUUUCUUUCCUUUUUGGGUUUGCCAGCUGGAUCCGGAAAGAGGUCCACUACUAAUUCUAGGGUGUGUGCUGUGGACCGCUAGCCAGCCAACGGUUGCUGGCUAGCCGCGUCCUAGUAUAUGGUACAGUACGUACAUGGAACAUGCGGAGGUACGGGUGGGUGCGUGUGGCCUGCGCCGGCUCCGGCUGCCACCAGCGGGCCCGCGCAUAGUUGCAGGGCCGCCAGCCACGGCCGGUCAAUCAUCGGCAGCUGCACACGCAUCUUGUGACUCCGGAUCCAUGGGUCAUCGACGCACUCAUGCAUGUAGAGGUGA
Triticum dicoccoides is the source of this 3715-nucleotide RNA transcript. RefSeq lists it as uncharacterized. Lineage: Eukaryota; Viridiplantae; Streptophyta; Magnoliopsida; Poales; Poaceae. The record is from RefSeq and is a predicted model, not a curated record. The transcript has 3 exons.